This is a small nucleolar RNA of Carcharodon carcharias (great white shark), 185 nucleotides long. RefSeq annotates it as small nucleolar RNA SNORD97. Lineage: Eukaryota; Metazoa; Chordata; Chondrichthyes; Lamniformes; Lamnidae. The transcript has a single exon. The record is from RefSeq and is a predicted model, not a curated record.
GUGCCCAAUGAUUAAGGAAUGACGCGUUAUUGUGAGGACUAAUCUGGCAGGCUGUUCUUACUAUUUGACUUACCUUGACCACCACCUCUUACCCGUUUUUCUUUCUUCCAAAUCCCCAACCCUUUUUCCACCUGUUAUGGAUAGCUGGCCAGUGUCCUGUGAGCGUGAUUGAGAGAUGAGGGCAG